Molecule: small nuclear RNA, 117 nt
Organism: Xenopus tropicalis (tropical clawed frog)
Lineage: Eukaryota; Metazoa; Chordata; Amphibia; Anura; Pipidae
Gene: U5
Rfam family: U5 spliceosomal RNA
About the family: U5 RNA is a component of both types of known spliceosome. The precise function of this molecule is unknown, though it is known that the 5' loop is required for splice site selection and p220 binding, and that both the 3' stem-loop and the Sm site are important for Sm protein binding and cap methylation.
Source: Ensembl
GUACUCUGGUUUCCCUUCAAAUGGAAUACUUUUUUCACAUUUCACUAAAGAUUUCCGUGGAGAGGAAAAACCAUGAGUUUCAUUUAAUUUUUUGAGAUGUAAAAGCGGCAUUUUCAA